Coffea arabica (coffee) is the source of this 1704-nucleotide non-coding RNA. The record is from RefSeq and is a predicted model, not a curated record. Lineage: Eukaryota; Viridiplantae; Streptophyta; Magnoliopsida; Gentianales; Rubiaceae.
AAUCAAACUCCGGGUUUUUUAACAGCGUUAUCAAGUCGUUAGGGUGCGUGAGGCGGAGGAGCAAGUGCAGGGGAUCCAUCGGUGGGAGACCCUUAGAACCUAGCUAAGAUGGAAGAGGAGGUGAGGAUGCUUCUCCAGGACGCUUUUGGCGAAUUAUCAGAUGGCGAAGGCGGCGAGGAAGCACAAGAACGGAAGUCCCAAGAUUUGAACAAGCUCUCGAUUUUUGGUGAAAUCCAAAACUGGGAAAGAAUUGAUCAAAUUAAGGGCUUAUGGUUAUGCAGGGACUUCCUAUCUCCCGAUCAACAAUCUUCGCUGCUCUCCGCAAUCCAAAAAGGCACUUCUAUCAAUUUGUAAAAACCUUUCUAACUUAACUGCUUUCUUUGGUUGUUACGUACUAAGAUGAUUGUAAGACGCUCAAAAAACUGGUGAUGGCAUGUGAGCUUUCGUAUUUUUUUUUCUUGAGUCCUACUACAAUUUUUAUGUUUCUUUAGAGUCGAAUCAAAUUAAAUUUGUUUGAGUUUGAUUAAAUGCUUAUUAAAUAUUUCUCAACGGAUGAUUGAUAAAAACACAAAAUAAUAAUUGAAGAGGGCUCUCAUGCAAGUGUUAUUUGUGGCUGCAGAAGGAUGGUUGAGUGAAUUCUCUGGAAAUCAGCAUACAUGCAUUUUCUUUGUCGUUGAAGGCCAUGAGAUUUGGAAAUCUUCCCCAAUGGGCCAUUGAACUUUCCAACUCCAUUAAGGAGGCUGUUUUCGUCGGUCAUUAUCUCUCUGAAUCCAUGAACUUACCAACUCAUGACAAAGGUAAAGAGGCCUACCCCCUUCCACCAGAAUUGUUGUGGAGGGAACCGCUAUUUGAUCAACUUAUUGUGAACACAUACCAACCAGGGAAUUUGUGCGCAUGUUGAUCUGAUGCGCUUUGAAGAUGGAAUUGCCAUUCUUUCUUUGGAAUCAUCCUGUGUCAUGCACUUUAGUCUAGUUGAGGAUGAGUUAUCUGAUUAUAGAGAGGAGAAGGCGGGCAAAAAUAGUUCUUCUGCAAAGAUCCCUGUGCUUUUAACCGAAGGAUCGUUGGUCCUAAUGUGGGGAGAAGCACGCUACUUUUGGAAGCAUGAGAUUAAUAGGAAGCCUGGUUUUCAGAGGUGGAUGGGGCAAGAAAUUGAUCAAAGAAAGCGAACCUCUAUUACAUUGAGGAAGCUUUGCUAAACUACACCAUAUUCCGUGGUAUAUCUCAGCUCCACAUCUAAUUUUCAGCAGCUCGAUUCUACGUUGCUGUGGUAGUAAUUAUCGCGUGUAUAUGAAUAUCCUUCCCGUCGCCCAGCGGUUGGGAAGGACUAAUUGGCUAUUGCUUCAGGUGAGAUCAAUAUGAUUUAAGCUUUUGGGAGUCGAGGCUUGAUCUCGGGAGCGCGAUAGACUGUCCGUUUGUUCCUUUAAGACAAAACAACUCACUCCUUGACCAGGGCCUUUUAUUCUUUUUCACUGGUGGUUCUUUCUACUUGUAUUCUAUUCGGUCAAUGCUCCAAUUUCCAACGGCCCACUGUGAGGGCAAGACAUUCCUGGCGAACAUAUUAUUGUAAUUUAUAGCCCCUCGAAUGUAAAACUAUAAUAGCCAAUCGAAUGCGAGGGUAAUAGAAUGUCUCAAGCGUGCUUUCUGAUACAUGGAGAGGGAAGGUUACGGAUACAUGCAACGUUUUACGGCUAUGAUUCAACAUAA